GCAUAUCAAUAAGCGGAGGAAAAGAAACUAACAAGGAUUCCCCUAGUAACUGCGAGUGAAGCGGGAAAAGCUCAAAUUUAAAAUCUGAUAGUCUUUGACUGUCCGAGUUGUAAUCUAGAGAAGCAUUAUCCGCGCUGGACCAUGUAUAAGUCUCCUGGAAUGGAGCGUCAUAGAGGGUGAGAAUCCCGUCUUCAACAUGGACUACCAGGGCUUUGUGAUAUGCUCUCAAAGAGUCGAGUUGUUUGGGAAUGCAGCUCUAAAUGGGUGGUAAAUUCCAUCUAAAGCUAAAUAUUGGCGAGAGACCGAUAGUGAACAAGUACCGUGAGGGAAAGAUGAAAAGAACUUUGAAAAGAGAGUUAAACAGUAUGUGAAAUUGUUGAAAGGGAAACGCUUGAAGUCAGYCACAUUGAUUAGGGAUCAACCUUGCUUUUGCUUGGUGUAUUUUCUAAUUAAUGGGUCAGCAUCAAUUUUGACCAGUGGAAAAAGAUUGAGAGAAUGUAGCAUCUUCGGAUGUGUUAUAGCUUUUAGUUGUAUACAUUGGUUGAGAUUGAGGAACUCAGCAUGCCGCAAGGCCGGGUUUUAAACCACGUUCAUGCUUAGGAUGCUGGCAUAAUGGCUUUAAUCGACCCGUCUUGAAACACGGACCA
This 647-nucleotide ribosomal RNA is filed under the name Inocephalus lagenicystis. RNAcentral's name for it is "partial large subunit ribosomal RNA". It matches the Rfam family "Eukaryotic large subunit ribosomal RNA", at positions 38 to 668 of the family's 3401-position model. The record is from RNAcentral. Lineage: Eukaryota; Fungi; Basidiomycota; Agaricomycetes; Agaricales; Entolomataceae.